Molecule: ribosomal RNA, 497 nt
Filed under: uncultured bacterium
Lineage: Bacteria
Description: partial 16S ribosomal RNA
Rfam family: Bacterial small subunit ribosomal RNA
Source: RNAcentral
GACGAACGCUGGCGGCGUGCCUAAUACAUGCAAGUAGAACGCUGAAGCUUGGUGCUUGCACCGAGCGGAUGAGUUGCGAACGGGUGAGUAACGCGUAGGUAACCUGCCUGGUAGCGGGGGAUAACUAUUGGAAACGAUAGCUAAUACCGCAUAAGAGUAGAUGUUGCAUGACAUUUGCUUAAAAGGUGCAAUUGCAUCACUACCAGAUGGACCUGCGUUGUAUUAGCUAGUUGGUGAGGUAACGGCUCACCAAGGCAACGAUACAUAGCCGACCUGAGAGGGUGAUCGGCCACACUGGGACUGAGACACGGCCCAGACUCCUACGGGAGGCAGCAGUAGGGAAUCUUCGGCAAUGGACGGAAGUCUGACCGAGCAACGCCGCGUGAGUGAAGAGGGUUUUCGGAUCGUAAAGCUCUGUUGUAAGAGAAGAACGAGUGUGAGAGUGGAAAGUUCACACUGUGACGGUAUCUUACCAGAAAGGGACGGCUAACUACGUG